AUUGAACGCUGGCGGCAUGCCUAACACAUGCAAGUCGAACGGCAGCACGGCAGUAGCAAUACUGUGGGUGGCGAGUGGCGGACGGGUGAGGAAUACGUCGGAAUCUGCCCAGUCUGGGGGAUAACUAGCCGAAAGGUUAGCUAAUACCGCAUACGACCGAGAGGUGAAAGCGGGGGACCGCAAGGCCUCGCGCGAUUGGAUGAGCCGACGUCGGAUUAGCUAGUUGGUGGGGUAAAGGCCCACCAAGGCGACGAUCCGUAGCUGGUCUGAGAGGAUGAUCAGCCACACUGGAACUGAGACACGGUCCAGACUCCUACGGGAGGCAGCAGUGGGGAAUAUUGGACAAUGGGCGCAAGCCUGAUCCAGCAAUGCCGCGUGUGUGAAGAAGGCCUUCGGGUUGUAAAGCACUUUUAUCAGGAACGAAAAGCGUUGGAUUAAUACUCUGACGUGCUGACGGUACCUGAGGAAUAAGCACCGGCUAACUUCG
RNAcentral lists this ribosomal RNA (487 nucleotides) under uncultured bacterium. RNAcentral's name for it is "bacterial SSU rRNA". It matches the Rfam family "Bacterial small subunit ribosomal RNA", at positions 30 to 505 of the family's 1533-position model. The record is from RNAcentral.